This 100-nucleotide non-coding RNA is filed under the name Pantoea brenneri. RNAcentral also lists the same sequence under 1 other name. Lineage: Bacteria; Pseudomonadati; Pseudomonadota; Gammaproteobacteria; Enterobacterales; Erwiniaceae. The record is from RNAcentral.
CAGAUUUGGUGACAUGUCUCGCACAAGACUGUUACCUCGGUUGUUCAGUUCCCCAACUGCUCAACCGCGAAGAAGCCGCCUCCCCAGGCGGUUUUUUCGC